UUAAACAGUCUUGCCGGUAUU
RNAcentral lists this non-coding RNA (21 nucleotides) under Caenorhabditis elegans. Lineage: Eukaryota; Metazoa; Nematoda; Chromadorea; Rhabditida; Rhabditidae. The record is from RNAcentral.